Danio rerio (zebrafish) is the source of this 860-nucleotide non-coding RNA. Lineage: Eukaryota; Metazoa; Chordata; Actinopteri; Cypriniformes; Danionidae. The record is from Ensembl.
GACAGACAUCCAACAAAGGCAAAAAUCACAGAGGUCCUGGUCUUAAUGAUCAUUGUCUUGGGGAACAGAAUGACCGGCUUUGUGGAAAUACACAGCUAUAAUUGAAUGCAGCAUGACCUCCGACCUCACCCCUAAUGGUAGUGUAAUGAGAGAUGAGGGCUCAUUGUUGCACCCAUGUUGAAGAUUUGGGAUUCUACACUAACGACAGAGCAGACGGCCCAUCUGUCAGGUGAAUGGCUUUUUUGGCUGCGGGAACUGUGUGGAUGACUAUGCUGGACAAUGAGAUGGACAAUCUGACUCUGGGCAGGAAUGGACAAAGCGGACUAAAGGAAGGAAGCUGGAGUCUGAGUCCACAGAGAUAACGGCUGAGAGGAGAUUCACUCCAAACUACAUGCUAUUAUGAUGCGACUGCCUGACCUUUCCUGCACAGAUCUGCUCCUCUAUUCAUCUGGAAAAAAGGGAGUGGAUUUUUUCAAGAUGUUCUCCAAUGCCGGUAAAAGCAGACCUUAUCAUCAUCUACAUUGUCUGGAAGUCCAGUACAGCGGCAGCACAAACAAAACAGACAAAGCUCAUGUUUAGAUGAUGCUAUCGUCUCAGUUUCAAAGCUAAAGUGAUUUAUGUCAGCUUCCUAACAUGUCUGUGCCUGCUUUGGCUCAUUGAGGCAUUGUAAAGUGCGUUCACUCCAUUCAGAUCAAAACAGGAAGUACAAACAACGCACAAACAACAGCCUAAUCGCUUCCUGUCAGAGGUCUUUUGCGGAGCACGACCCAUAAGAAAACAACAGCGCCGUUGGUCAGAUGGGGAGAUAAAGAAAGGCCAUCUCUUUCAUCAUUUCCCAUCUUCUCAAGCACAAUGUUUUG